GAUGAGCUGAGCUGAGAAUAUUAGGAAACUGCCAUUUCCUCAUAACCUGUUGCAAUUCCAGUAUUCUGUGUGACCUAAAAACUGGGUUGGAAAUCCUCCUUAACACAGAUACAAAACCCAGAAGCUGUAGAGGACAAUAUCAACCGAUUUGACAGUAUAACAGGAUGGCUUAAAUUCCUUGGUCCUUGAUUUAGAUUUUCCUGCUUUGAGGAAAAACAAGAACAUAGAUAAUUUCUUAAAUAGAUAUGAGAAAAUUGUGAAAAAAAUCAGAGGUCUACAGAUGAAGGCAGAAGACUAUGAUGUUGUAAAAGUUAUUGGAAGAGGUGCUUUUGGUGAAGUGCAGUUGGUUCGUCAUAAGGCAUCGCAGAAGGUUUAUGCUAUGAAGCUUCUUAGUAAGUUUGAGAUGAUAAAAAGAUCAGAUUCUGCCUUUUUUUGGGAAGAAAGAGAUAUUAUGGCCUUUGCCAAUAGCCCCUGGGUGGUUCAGCUUUUUUAUGCCUUUCAAGAUGAUAGGUAUCUGUACAUGGUAAUGGAGUACAUGCCUGGUGGAGACCUUGUAAACCUUA
This 563-nucleotide small RNA is filed under the name Pongo abelii (Sumatran orangutan). RNAcentral describes it as "processed transcript". The record is from RNAcentral. Lineage: Eukaryota; Metazoa; Chordata; Mammalia; Primates; Hominidae.